ACAGUAAAAACGUGCAGAUGUUAGAAGCAAAUGGGCACGUAUACUACAUGAAAAGUCUGCAUGUUUUGAUUAGAAGUGAUGCAAUUUAUUUAUUUCCCAGAGGUAAGAAAAACUACCCUUUAUUUUUAUAGCACAAAUGGUGCGUUUCUAGAGGUUGCAGAGUCCCUGUACUGAUCCUAAAAUGAUAUUCUGUAUCUAUGAGUUAAAACACGUUAAUCAUACUCCCAUUUAUAAUCUCUGUGUAACUAUCAUAACCAAUGCUACAGAAUAUCAAUAAAUGUCCUCGGAGCCAUACAUCAACAUCACAGUGGUGUAAAUCCAUUAUAAUUCUUGUGGUUUUGCACUGCUCUGGGGUCACUGAGAUCAGCACCUUUCAGUGAUUUUCCCCCCCUCUUUACCCUUUGACUAUUAGUGGAAGCUUUUGUUGCCAUCUCCAGCUGUUUGAAGAGCAACAGGUAAUAAAGAACACGUAAGAAAUAAUUUCUACCUCCAUCUAGUAACCUGACAAGCUUUUGCUUAAAAGGCAGAAGCUUUUAAAGAAUAUUUAUAUCCUUCACAGGUUUUGCUGCUGUAUUUCCCAAUAGCACACUUUUAAACAAAUGGAGCUUUACCUACCAGGCUUGGAGUCCCUGUUACCAAGUCCUUGUCAAAAAGAUUUUAUGUGUUUUUUUAAAAAGAUUUUAUCUGAUAACUGCUUUAUGGUAUGCUUCAGGAAAACAUUUAAUAAAUAAGAAGGAGCCACGAUUAAAAGGCAAAGGAAUAGCCUUCACUCAGAAAAAUCUUGGAGAUAUAUAUAUAUUUUUUUUUCAGUGGAGGAGAAGGGGAACAAUUUACUAAUAUAUUUAAAAACCUGAACUGCUUUUCUACUAUUAUUUGCUGUUUUUGCGUUCAACUUGCAGUGAGGUCUAUAACAGAAGGUGUAACUGGCUGAACCUCACGACUCUCCUACUUCUACUCCCCAAGACUUGUUGCAGUUGUCAGCAGCAAGCCGGGCUGGUUACGGGCACUGCACCCACUGAAGAUCUCUGCUCCGUCGUGCCUGUGCAUCCAUCACUCCGGCAGGACGGGAUCUUGUGUGUGGGCUGCUCAGAGGUCGUGGUCAGGCACUGUUCAGUGCUCCGACAGCAAGACCAGACAGUGUUAAUACAGAAAGUAUCAUGUUUUUCUCUGGAGCUGUGGUGCCCAACUCCAGCAACAGUCAUACGACAUCAGGACAGCAACUAUACACCCCUCGCAGAAGUUUACAGAAAACAAAAUAAGCAGAGAAGACAUGGUAAGUUUACUAUUUUUUCAUUUCUCCAUCUAAGCAGUCACACAGUGACACUGAGUAUAUCUUACAGUACAGAAAAUACGACAAGGUUCAGUUGUUUCACAUCUUCCAGGUUGUGUUUUUCCCUGUCCCCUAAGACUAAUUAUAGGGGUUGCCAAGUACCGUAA
Molecule: long non-coding RNA, 1437 nt
Filed under: Anser cygnoides (Swan goose)
Lineage: Eukaryota; Metazoa; Chordata; Aves; Anseriformes; Anatidae
Description: lncRNA (ENSACDG00005009658.1)
Source: RNAcentral